Molecule: ribosomal RNA, 479 nt
Filed under: uncultured Methanosaeta sp.
Lineage: Archaea; Methanobacteriati; Methanobacteriota; Methanomicrobia; Methanotrichales; Methanotrichaceae
Description: bacterial SSU rRNA
Rfam family: Archaeal small subunit ribosomal RNA
Source: RNAcentral
GGAAUUGACGGGGAGCACCACAACGGGUGGAGCUUGUCGGUUUAAUUGGAUUCAACGCCGGAAAUCUUACCGGGACCGACAGCAAUAUGAAGGCCAGGCUGAAGACUUUUGCCGGAUUAGCUGAGAGGUGGUGCAUGGCCGUCGUCAGUUCGUACUGUGAAGCAUCCUGUUAAGUCAGGCAACGAGCGAGACCCACGCCCACAGUUGCCAGCGUACUCUCCGGAGUGACGGGUACACUGUGGGGACCGCCGCUGCUAAAGCGGAGGAAGGAAUGGGCAACGGUAGGUCAGUAUGCCCCGAAUAUCCCGGGCUACACGCGAGCUACAAUGGUUGGUACAAUGGGUAUCUACCCCGAAAGGGGACGGGAAUCUCCUAAAACCAAUCUUAGUUCGGAUUGAGGGCUGCAACUCGCCCUCAUGAAGCUGGAAUCCGUAGUAAUCGCGUUUCAACAGAACGCGGUGAAUACGUCCCUGCUCCUU